GCCGUCGUAGCUCAGUGGUAGAGCAUCCGCUUCGUAAGCGGGAGGUCGCGGGUUCAAAUCCCAUCGACGGCACCA
This 75-nucleotide transfer RNA is filed under the name Micavibrio sp. Its description in RNAcentral is "tRNA-Thr". It matches the Rfam family "tRNA". From Rfam's summary of the family: Transfer RNA (tRNA) molecules are approximately 80 nucleotides in length. Their secondary structure includes four short double-helical elements and three loops (D, anti-codon, and T loops). RNAcentral also lists the same sequence under 1 other name. The record is from RNAcentral. Lineage: Bacteria; Pseudomonadati; Bdellovibrionota; Bdellovibrionia; Bdellovibrionales; Pseudobdellovibrionaceae.